UAACUGAAGAGUUUGAUCAUGGCUCAGAUUGAACGCUGGCGGCAGGCUUAACACAUGCAAGUCGAGCGGGGGAAGGUAGCUUGCUACCGGACCUAGCGGCGGACGGGUGAGUAAUGCUUAGGAAUCUGCCUAUUAGUGGGGGACAACAUCUCGAAAGGGAUGCUAAUACCGCAUACGUCCUACGGGAGAAAGCAGGGGAUCUUCGGACCUUGCGCUAAUAGAUGAGCCUAAGUCGGAUUAGCUAGUUGGUGGGGUAAAGGCCUACCAAGGCGACGAUCUGUAGCGGGUCUGAGAGGAUGAU
Molecule: ribosomal RNA, 301 nt
Filed under: Acinetobacter baumannii
Lineage: Bacteria; Pseudomonadati; Pseudomonadota; Gammaproteobacteria; Moraxellales; Moraxellaceae
Description: partial 16S ribosomal RNA
Rfam family: Bacterial small subunit ribosomal RNA
Source: RNAcentral